This 407-nucleotide ribosomal RNA is filed under the name uncultured bacterium. Its description in RNAcentral is "partial 16S ribosomal RNA". It matches the Rfam family "Bacterial small subunit ribosomal RNA", at positions 29 to 526 of the family's 1533-position model. The record is from RNAcentral.
AGCGAACGCUGGCGGCAGGCUUAACACAUGCAAGUCGAGCGGAGCGGCAGACGGGUGAGUAACGCGUGGGAACGUACCUUUUGGUUCGGAACAACACAGGGAAACUUGUGCUAAUACCGGAUACCGAAAGAUCGGCCCGCGUCUGAUUAGCUAGUUGGUAGGGUAAUGGCCUACCAAGGCGACGAUCCGUAACUGGUCUGAGAGGAUGAUCAGUCACACUGGAACUGAGACACGGUCCAGACUCCUACGGGAGGCAGCAGUGGGGAAUAUUGGACAAUGGGCGAAAGCCUGAUCCAGCCAUGCCGCGUGUGUGAAGAAGGUCUUCGGAUUGUAAAGCACUUUAAGUUGGGAGGCGUUACCAACAGAAUAAGCACCGGCUAACUCCGUGCCAGCAGCCGCGGUAAUAC